CUGGUCUAUAGUAGUGUACUAUAUAGGGAAUAGGGCUCUGGUCAACAGUAGUGCACUAUAUAGGGAAUAGGGCUCUGGUCAACAGUAGUGUAUUAUAUAGGGAAUAGGGCUCUGGUCAACAGUAGUGUACUAUAUAGGGAAUAGGGCUCUGGUCUAUAGUAGUGUACUAUAUAGGGAAUAGGGCUCUGGUCAACAGUAGUGCACUAUAUAGGGAAUAGGGCUCUGGUCAACAGUAGUGUAUUAUAUAGGGAAUAGGGCUCUGGUCAACAGUAGUGUAUUAUAUAGGGAAUAGGGCUCUGGUCUAUAGUAGCGUACUAUAUAGGGAAUAGGGCUCUGGUCAACAGUAGUGUACUAUAUAGGGAAUAGGGCUCUGGUCAACAGUAGUGUACUAUAUAGGGAAUAGGGCUCUGGUCAACAGUAGUGUAUUAUAUAGGGAAUAGGGCUCUGGUCUAUAGUAGUGCACUAUAUAGGGAAUAGGGCUCUGGUCAACAGUAGUGCACUAUAUAGGGAAUAGGGUGCUAUUUGAAGAUGCAUUCGGACAUGUAGCUGAGUAGAUGCUCCUCAUCAACAAGUCAUUGCUGAUAUGACAACUAGAUCCUGUUUGGCUGUGUGUCUAUGGCACCCUCUACCCUACUUAAUACACUCAUAGGGACUCUGGCCAAUGGUAGUGCACUGCGUAGAGAAUAUGGUGCCAUUUUGGGAAACAAGAGACUAGAUCCCGUUGUCUUGGUAAUGGUUGCUUGUCUCCGACUCCUACUUAUGGAGAAAGCUAUAUGGAUGUCUGUGAGGACUGUAGGAGAAGGUCGUGCAUUUCUAAAGAUGAGAGAGAGUCUGGUAUUAUUUUUUGCAAUAUAGACCUACAAACUAAGAGCCAUGCUUUUCAUUUUCUUCAAUAUCUCAUCUAGAGAUGGUUUGUAUUGAUUGGUUGCUCUUGCCUCUCUUUCACUCUGUAUGUGCUUUGUCAUUAUUGCUAUUUAUGUUGAAUGUAUUUGCUAUAAACUCAUUCAACUUUAUUUUUUUUAACCAAAAAACAUAAUUCAUGUUCAUAAAUAGACCAAGGCUGGUCUGGGUCUAUCCAGGGCUAGUCUGGAUCUGUCCAAAGCUGGUUUGGGUCUGUCCAGGGCUGGUCUGGGUCUAUCCAGGGAUGGUCUAGGUCUGUCCAGGGAUGGUCUGGGUCUGUCCAUAGAUGUAUAGUUUUCAGACCCCAUCUAAGAAAGUAAAAAUACUCCUUCUUACUUUGCAGAGAAUGGCAGGAGCCCUGCUUGUGUGAAAAGUUAAGAGAAGGUGUAGAGAAGUUAAGAGCUGGUGUAGAGAAGUUAAGAGAAGUUAAGAGAAGGUGUAGAGAAGUUAAGAGAAGGUGUAGAGAAGUUAAGAGAAGGUGUAGAGAAGUUAAGAGAAGUUAAGAGAAGGUGUAGAGAAGUUAAGAGAAGUUAAGAGGUGUAGAGAAGUUAAGAGAAGGUGUAGAGAAGUUAAGAGAAGUUAAGAGAAGGUGUAGAGAAGUUAAGAGAAGGUGUAGAGAAGUUAAGAGAAGUUAAGAGGUGUAGAGAAGUUAAGAGAAGUUAAGAGGUGUAGAGAAGUUAAGAGAAGGUGUAGAGAAGUUAAGAGAAGUUAAGAGGUGUAGAGAAGUUAAGAGAAGUUAAGAGGUGUAGAGAAGUUAAGAGAAGGUGUAGAGAAGUUAAGAGAAGUUAAGAGAAGGUGUAGAGAAGUUAAGAGAAGAGGUGUAGAGAAGUUAAGAGAAGUUAAGAGAAGGUGUAGAGAAGUUAAGAGAAGGUGUAGAGAAGUUAAGAGGUGUAGAGAAGUUAAGAGAAGUUAAGAGGUGUAGAGAAGUUAAGAGAAGGUGUAGAGAAGUUAAGAGAAGUUAAGAGAAGGUGUAGAGAAGUUAAGAGAAGGUGUAGAGAAGUUAAGAGCGUACAAAAAAUGCAUUAUCUUUUACAAGAUCUAAUGUGUUAUAUUAUCCUACAUUCAUUUCACAUUCAUUCACAUUUCCACAAACUUCAAAGUGUUUCCUUUCAAAUGGUGCCAAGAAUAUGCAUAUCCUUGCUUCAGGUCCUGAGCUACAGGCAGUUAGAUUGGGGUAUGCCAUUUUUGGCUAAAAUUGACAAAAAUGUGCGGAUCCGUAAGAGGUUGAGGAAGGUGUGUUCUUCUGUAUGUCCUGAAUACCUUCUGAGGAAACAAGCCGUGUCAUUAUUACAGACACAGUUGUUACUUUAGAUACCCUACUUUUCUCCCCCUGAAACAACUGUUCGUCUCUCUUAUUAAAAACAUGGUUAAACACAGUUCUCAGGGAUAGAAUUGUGGUUCCCAGGCACACAGGUUUGAUACAGCUUGUACCACUGUGUGAUCAACAUAAUUACAGUCAGGUUAGAGUUAACUGUCUCUCUCUCUCUCUCUCUCUCUCUCUCUCUCUCUCUCUCUCUCUCUUUUGCUCUCUGUCUAUCUCUCUCUGUCGCUGUCUCUCUGUGUCUCUGUGUCUCUCUGUCUCUCUGUCUCUCUCUUUUGCUCUCUCUCUCUCUCUCUCUCUGUCUCUGUCGGUCUCUGAGUCUCUGUGUCUCUCUUUCUCUCUGUCUCUGUCGUUGUCUCUCUGUGUCUCUCUGUGUCUCUCUCUCUGUCUGUCUCUGUCGGUCUCUGUGUCUCUGUGUCUCUCUUUCUCUCUGUCUCUGUCGCUGUCUCUCUCUCACACUAUCUCUCUCUCCUUUCUAUCCCUUUCUUUCUUUCUCUCUCGCUCUUCCCUCAUAUAAGCUCUAAGAACACUGCAGUUGGGGCACAGAUCACCCAUUCUAUCAUUUUCACUUCAGUUCACUUCAGUGAGGAAGGAGAGGUGGAGAGAGGGAGGUGGAGAGAUGCAGGUGGAGAGAGGGAGGUGGAGAGAGGGAGGUGGAGAGAGGCAGGUGGAGAGAUGCAGGUGGAGAGAGGGAGGUGGAGAGAGGGAGGUGGAGAGAGGCAGGUGGAGAGAGGCAGGUGGAGAGAGGCAGGUGGAGAGAGGGAGGUG
Oncorhynchus tshawytscha (Chinook salmon) is the source of this 2989-nucleotide long non-coding RNA. The record is from Ensembl. Lineage: Eukaryota; Metazoa; Chordata; Actinopteri; Salmoniformes; Salmonidae.